Oncorhynchus tshawytscha (Chinook salmon) is the source of this 1093-nucleotide long non-coding RNA. RefSeq lists it as uncharacterized. Lineage: Eukaryota; Metazoa; Chordata; Actinopteri; Salmoniformes; Salmonidae. The record is from RefSeq and is a predicted model, not a curated record. The transcript is spliced from 4 exons.
UAUAUAUAUAUAUAUAUGUAUAUAUUUCACACACAAUUCCUCUGGUACUUUGUUUCACUUUGAAUUUGUCAGGAUCCAACUUGUAUAUUAAGAUUGCCUGUCUGUGUCUAUAGAGCUGUCAAUCAAUCCUAGCCCUCCCUGGAUGUGGAGACUCAUGCAGCAUCAAUGUCAGCCAACAAGUGUCUUUUGAAGGCGUGAAGAAAUCUGUGGCUGAACUGAAACAGCGAUUGGAGGACAUCUGCAAAGGGACCUUCGUAAAAAUCUCUAAAAAAGUACAGGAUGUUCAUAUUCUGCAGGCAUCAAAUCCCAGUCCACUUCUACCCCAAGUAAAAGAAAAGUUUGUGGAGAGUAAAGUACCAACAACAAGGGAGGAGUUUUUGAAAUAUGCCUGUCAGCUCACAUUGGACCUAAACACCGCACAUAAAAACCUCCUUCUCUCCAAAGACAACAAAGAGGCUGUAUGGAAGGAUGUGGCACUGCCUUAUCCGGACCACCCAGAGAGAUUUGUAAACAAUGCUGUAGUACUGUGUAGAGAGGCUCUGUCAGGCUGCUGUUACUGGGAAGUUGAAUGGAGUGGAGUACAGGUUGUUAUGGGUGUUGCAUAUAAGGGGAUAAACCGAAAGAAGUGUCCUAGUCAUGAUCAUUUUGAUUGGAUUUUAAACUUUCAUGAACAGACCUGGAGUUUGGAUGUGUUUGGUCGCUGUGUUUGGGAGAAUACUAAACAGACUAAACAACUACCUUUUUGGCCUUCUAAGAAAAUAGGGCUCUACUUGGAUCACAAGGCUGGAACGCUAACGUUCUAUAACAUUACUGACACAAUGACCCUCCUCUAUAGAGUACAAACUACAUUCACUCAACCACUCUAUCCUGUUUUCUGGAUAAAAGUACAGUCCAGGAUGAAAUUGUGCCGCAUGAAAUAAAUGAAAAUGAUUAUUAUAAAAAUAUGAUGCUUUUUGAAAUCCUCUUUUUACAUUGAAAAGAAGUAUGGGGGUUUGUCUGUUUGGGAUUAUAAACGGCACCCACUUCUAACGGCAAUCAUUUACACCAAAUUAUACAAAUUAUAUGCUGUAUGAGUAAGAAGGAAGUAUACCAA